RNAcentral lists this long non-coding RNA (3082 nucleotides) under Nicotiana tabacum (common tobacco). Its description in RNAcentral is "long non-coding RNA (NTAB_LNC015030)". Lineage: Eukaryota; Viridiplantae; Streptophyta; Magnoliopsida; Solanales; Solanaceae. The record is from RNAcentral.
AGACUUUCAAGAUGUCUUCUUCUUCAAAGCAGCCAUGGGAGAACCCGACUAACACUCUAAAAAACACAACAACAUACCGCCUGAACUUCACUCCAAACACCAAACCGCCGGCGGCCAACCUCAUCUCCUCAACAGUCCGCCACCGGAAACCAGCAACACAACACCCCUGAACCAAACAGUCGUCCAUCUCGCUCAGCACAGCAGCCGACCCCCACCUCUCUAUCUCUCUCUCAUUUCUGUCUCACUUCCAUCACCGGCAAAACUCGCCGAAAACAAGAGAGCAGUAGCUGCUCAGAAACGCACACAUAGGGGAGAAGAUUUGGUAAAAACAAAGAGAGGAUGAAAUCGUGAAAUAAAAAACAAAGUAUCUUCUUCUUCUAACGUUUCAAAUUUUCAAACAUGGAGUUUGAUCGAGUUCGAGGUGUCGUCCGCAGUGAGGUUCGUGAUCCCGUUUGAGUUUGAUUGUUGUUUCGAGGUUUGGUUGUAGCUUGCUCCAUUUUUGUGCGUGUAUAUACUUGAAAUCUCAUUAAAUGAAAGUUCAAUUCGAUUUGAUUUCUAUUCAUGUACUAUUGCUUUAACACAUUAACAGUUUUGGAAUACAUUAACAGUUUUGGUGUCAAACUCUAAACACAUAAUCAAAUUUCAAGUUGUUCUUUUGGUCUUGGAUUCCGAAACGGGUUGGAGUUAAAACAGGCGCUCAAUUGUUGGAGUCUUCAUCUGAGGUGCGGUCCAUCGGUUUCAUUCGGUUUGGAUUUGCUAUUUUGGACCCCAUUCACAGCUGCGUUAUUCUGUCCAUAGACGGAUCAACAUUAUAUUAAUUCAGGUUCAUCUCUUUUAUCUCGUUUAUUAAUUCAUUGAUACACUUGGUGUUCCCGUGAGUUCGAACCUGCAUUUUAGUUCUUGGUUAACUUCACUGUUACUUUGUUUAGUUUGCUUUCUGAAUGGUUGAAUUAAUGAGUCAUGAUUUGAAAACGGUUAGAUCUAUUCUCUACAUUUGAGAAUGUAAACAUGAAAAAAAUUGAAUAGAAAUGGCGACACUUUGAAGGAUUGGGUCGGGGAAAUAAUCCAUAAAAAAAUGGAAUUAGCUUUUAGUCAUAAACUGUGAAUCAAACUAAAUAUCAUUUUGUUUUAUUCCUAUUAUUUUAGUCGCUAGGAGCAUGCUUAGGCCGACAACAUUUGGGUAGGCAAGCCUUAGGGUUUUUGUUAGUUUCGAGGCGAUAGGUCGUUCCCUUAGUUAAAUUUAUCCGGGGAAUGCCCCGCGCAAUUUGUAUAUAUUUUCGGGGUAUGCCCCGAAGUAUUUGUAUUUGUAGGGCGAAAGUAGAAUUCGUAGCAUUUUUAUUUUUAUUUUCUUUUUUAAUGUUUCUUUUAUUAGGUGGGAACGACCUCAGCCCUCUUGUGUGAUUAUUUUUCUUUUUGUGUGUUUUUACCUCAAUUGAAUAUUUUAAAAGCUGACUAGAUCAAGUAUGCAACCGUACUAGUUAUGGGACUUGGGGAGUGCCUAACACCUUCUCUCCGAGUCAAAUGAACCCCCUUACCCGAAUUUAGACUUAGUUUUGAUCUCAAUUAUUUUGAAAGGAAAAAAUUAUUUUUAGAAAAAAAGUGACCUGACAUACCGAAAACAAAUGUCAGGUGGCGACUCUGAGUUAAUCCUUUUGAACACUAUCUUUUGUCACUUUCUAAUUGAAAAACCUUUUCAAGCUUUAAUUAAAUCUUUUAUUAAUUUAAGAGGUUUAGUGAAGUUUGUAUAAAAAGGGUGUGACAUCUCUGGCGAGUCUGUUGGGAAAUUGUAGGUUCGAGCUAGUACUUGAUCUUGUUGGCUUUGAGGAUAUUAGGUUGAGGUUUUUAUGUGUUUUGUUUGCUUUAUUUGAUUUUUAUUUUUCUUUAUGUCUUUUUAUUAUUUACUGGCUGCUUAUUUAUUUACAGUUUUUCUUUUAUGUGUUAUUGCUUCAUAAACCAUCAUCAUUUGCGUAACCAUGAGUCUUCUUUCUGCAACAAGUCUUCCGGAGUACGUUUGAGCGUACACGGCCUUUUUGUGAGUUACCCGUGUCUUUAGGGGGUGGCGUUGGAGCGUGGAGUGGGCAGACAGCUAGAGCAUCUGCCACCGACCACGUGCCGCCCCGAAUUGCCUUGUUAGUGAACCCCAAACGUAGGUCACCUUUAGGUCAUUUUUAUUUGCAUCAUGUCAUUUACACCUAGUAGGGCUUGGUCCCAGGCACCGUGUCCCUUUGUAGGAAACCUAUCCAAAUUUUGUCAAAAAUGGGCCCAUGGCCCAAAAAGACAAUCAUCCCUAUGUGAACAUGUGGCAUCUUUGAGGGUAAAAAGGCUAUUUGGCGGACCGAUGCUUGGAAAAGAGGGGUGAAAAAUGAAGCAAGUAGGACCCAAUUAUAUUUUUCUAUCACAACCUUUUCAGGAAAAAACCAAAAAAAAUUGAAAAUGAAAAUUCAAACAGAUUUGCACUUUUCCAUCAUUUUUCAAAAAAAUUAAAAAAAAGAGAGAGAAAAAAGAAAAUCCAAAAAAAGAGAUUUUACAUUUUCCAUCAUUUUUCAAAAAGACAAAAAUAGUUUUUCCAAAUUAGUUGCAUUUUUUAAAGCUUUCUCCCGUGUCCGGUCUUCCUAGCAAGUCUUAGGUUCUUGACUUUGCGGGGUCUUAGCCAUAUCUUGCAUGUUUAGCCACUUUUGGCCACAUCGGCCAUUCUUGCAAAAUGGGGUCAUUUUCGCAAAAGUAGUUCAAUUACCCAUGUCUUAGGAUCUUUGGCCACUUCUGGCCAUAUCGGUCGUUUUGCAAAAUGGGCCAUUUCUACAAAUUGANNNNNNNNNNNNNNNNNNNNAAUAGCCUUAAUCAUGCCUUGCAUGUGUCCAAUAGAAGGUGUUGUGGCAUUGCAUGUGUCUUGAGUUACUAACUCUAUUUGAUCUUAUUUUUUCCAUUCAGGUAUGGAGCAAUUUGCUAGAGUUUGAGCAUGACAAAUACCCUAGGACCAUUCUAGUUAAGACCAUUGCAUGCACGAGCUGUUUGACGAAACUUUUUAUAUUUUAGUCUAUCUUAUGUUGUCUUUUAAUUUUAGUCUUGUACAGAAGUAUCGAGU